AUGAACAGUUACCUGAGCAAGUGCUCCACCGCCGCAAUGAUGUUUGGGAUUGAUCUUAACAUGAGUCCUCCACAAGAUGAUGCCUCAGAACCUGCAGAUCAACAGGAAGAACAGAACAGUGAACAACAAUACAACAAUGAGGAACCAGUCAAUAAUGAAGCAACAUGGGAAGAAGCAAGUGGUGUAGAGGAACCAAUUCAUGAAGAAGCAAGUGGUGUAGAGGAAGCAAUUCAUGAGGAAGCAAGUGCUGUACAGAAACCAAUUCAUGAGGAACUCACAAAUGAGGAGAGAUAUGGUAUUUUUUUUGCACUCAUGGUGAUCAACACCCAAAAUGGACAAGUUCUGAAAAAAGACAAGCAGGUCAUUGCUAGCCUACUCGAUACAACCAUAAGAACUGUUGAGAGAAUAUGGGAAAGAGCUCUUAAACAGAUUGAAAAAGGGGAGAAAGUUGAUGUCUCAAAUCAAAAGCCAGGUAGAGUUGGCCGCAAGCGGAAAGAUUUGGAUCUGUCGAGGGUGGUGACAAUCCCAUUGAACAGAAGGAGAACAUUGCGAGGUCUGUCAAAGGCAUUGGGUGUAAGCUGCACGACCUUACACUCAAGGUUCGAGUGGGGUCAUUUGAGGCGUCACAGUAAUAAGUUGAGGCCCCACUUAAACCUGUCCAACAUUGUAAAGAGAUUGAAAUGGUGCUUGGCUAUGUGUGAAGAUUAUUGGUCUGCGACACGGGAAUUAGACAACAUAGCCUACAUGGAUGAAAAGUGGUUCAACAUGACUGGGGAGGUGAACAACUACUAUUUGCUUCCNNNNNNNNNNGCAGAAACACCCUUCGAGUACCAGCAGUCUCCAAGAAGCAGGAAAAGAGCAGCAACAACCUUCAAGCAGCAGGAAAAGAGCAUGAGCAGCCUCCGAGCAGCAGGAAAAGAGCAGCCACCUCCUUCAAGCGGCAGAAACACCCUUCGAGUACCAGUAGCCUCCAAGCAGCAGGAAAAGAGAACCAGGAGCCUUCAAGUAGCAAUAAAAGAGCACCAGCAGCCUCCAAGCAGCAGGAAAAGAGCAGCUCUUCUUUACUUGGGGUCAGCUAGUGCUACAAUCAACUGA
RNAcentral lists this ribosomal RNA (1095 nucleotides) under Triticum aestivum (bread wheat). RNAcentral describes it as "partial small subunit ribosomal RNA". The record is from RNAcentral. Lineage: Eukaryota; Viridiplantae; Streptophyta; Magnoliopsida; Poales; Poaceae.